Molecule: ribosomal RNA, 844 nt
Filed under: Triticum aestivum (bread wheat)
Lineage: Eukaryota; Viridiplantae; Streptophyta; Magnoliopsida; Poales; Poaceae
Description: partial small subunit ribosomal RNA
Source: RNAcentral
UGGGUUUCUGUCGUCCGUCGUCGUGGCAGUUUUUCAAAAAGGCCCCUCGGUUUAAAUGAUAUCAACCCGCACUCCCUGUUUUAGUAAAUAAAUAAUAAAGCAUCUAGACUGUUUCUGACCGCACCGGCAGUGUUGGAGGCCGCCGCGGCGAACGGGGUGCACAGGGUGGCGUAGCAGGGGCUCCCGGCGAGUGGGGAGCAGGAGGCGCAAUGCAUCCCAGCGCCGCACGACGACAGCGAGCCCGUGGCUCACCUGUCGCCCACCAGCGCGGACUCUGAGGCCAUCCCGACGGAGAGAAUCAGGAUGAGGAGGAUGCCCUGCAGCGAGCCAUCCCGACGGCGAGGGCGGCCAUCGUACGCUCGCUCGCUUGCUGUCCGCCGCCGGCAGUCCCCUCCGGCCUUGACGCGGACGGGAGGGAGAGACCCCUGAUGUCGACGUCUCCAUCACGCGGCGCGUCACACGCGGAUCUCGUCGGAGAACCUGAGGGUGGCCGUCCAAGGGGAAGGAGUGGAAGAGGAUGCCGGCAUGCAAGCUGUGCGAGGUGCAGAUCCAGCUGAAGGUCUGCCGCGACCGCACCGUGGCCGGGGCGUGCGCCGACGGCCUGCAAGCAUAGAACGAGAUGAGAGAGAGAGAGAGAGAGAGAGAGAGAGAGAGAGAGAGAGACGCGCGCGCGCACACACACAGGGGAGAGGGAGCGGAGGGGACGAGAUCCGGUGGCGGCGCUCGCUCCGGUGGAACGGGGGGAUGCCAGCGACUUUGCACAUCUAGCGCUGCAUAUUUGUGGAAGCACGGGGAUGAGAAAGAGGGAUGGAGCUAGAGAAGGGAGCUGGAUGCAGAUGAAUCU